AUGAAACAGAGUGAACAUGAUAAAAGUGGUAACUAUCAUCUUGGAACAAAAUGGAGCAAAGCCCUGAUGUUUUGGGGACACCAGCAGAGCCUUGCUCACAUGCCAGUCAAGAUGCCCAUGAGGUCAGAGUUCUAUGAGAUCACUUUGUCAGCCCAUCCAUUGGAUAAGGAUUCCCACUCUUGUGAUCUGCUGUAAAUCAGAGCCCACUGGGGAAGCUCAUUCUAUACACCAGAAGGACCUUUAGCCUUUGGAACUGGCCUGUCCCUUUAGAGGAUGACUUCAUACAUUGCAAUGUCAACAAAGAAAGGAUAGGACUCUCAAUUUCCCUGUGGAGCCAGCUACAGAGACACCCACUCACCCCCAGCAAAUGGAGACAAGAGAGGUCUUUCUGGGAGCCUCUCAUCAGCACUGAAAAAAACAAACAGACUCUGGUCCAUCAGGAUGAGACUGGGAAGCUACAAAUAAAGUUAUUAAAAGUGAUGUCUUUGGGGCUGGGGAUGUGGCUCAAGCGGUAGUGCGCUCGCCUGGC
This is a non-coding RNA of Marmota flaviventris (yellow-bellied marmot), 529 nucleotides long. Lineage: Eukaryota; Metazoa; Chordata; Mammalia; Rodentia; Sciuridae. The record is from RefSeq and is a predicted model, not a curated record.